RNAcentral lists this ribosomal RNA (508 nucleotides) under uncultured bacterium. RNAcentral describes it as "partial 16S ribosomal RNA". It matches the Rfam family "Bacterial small subunit ribosomal RNA", at positions 28 to 507 of the family's 1533-position model. The record is from RNAcentral.
GACGAACGCUGGCGGCGUGCCUAAUACAUACCAGUCGAACGCUUCUUUCCUCCCGAGUGCUUGCACUCAAUUGGAAAGAGGAGUGGCGGACGGGUGAGUAACACGUGGGUAACCUACCCAUCAGAGGGGGAUAACACUUGGAAACAGGUGCUAAUACCGCAUAACAGUUUAUGCCGCAUGGCAUAAGAGUGAAAGGCGCUUUCGGGUGUCGCUGAUGGAUGGACCCGCGGUGCAUUAGCUAGUUGGUGAGGUAACGGCUCACCAAGGCCACGAUGCAUAGCCGACCUGAGAGGGUGAUCGGCCACACUGGGACUGAGACACGGCCCAGACUCCUACGGGAGGCAGCAGUAGGGAAUCUUCGGCAAUGGACGAAAGUCUGACCGAGCAACGCCGCGUGAGUGAAGAAGGUUUUCGGAUCGUAAAACUCUGUUGUUAGAGAAGAACAAGGACGUUAGUAACUGAACGUCCCCUGACGGUAUCUAACCAGAAAGCCACGGCUAACUACGUG